Long non-coding RNA from Pelmatolapia mariae (spotted tilapia), 399 nucleotides. RefSeq lists it as uncharacterized. The transcript has 5 exons. The record is from RefSeq and is a predicted model, not a curated record. NCBI's taxonomy places the organism in Eukaryota, Metazoa, Chordata, Actinopteri, Cichliformes, Cichlidae.
UUUGUUUUUCAGAGAAAACCGAGAGGAGACAAGGUGACAUUAAGAUCUAAGACAGGACGGAUUGAACCCUUUCUCAGAGACGAUGAGGAGAGUGAACGUCAGCAAGAAUGAACAAAGUGUCAGGAAAAGAGCCAAGCUGAGAAGAAACACCACACAGAAGAUUUUCCCUCAUUAAAAUGGAGAGGAGCAGUAACGACACUGGGAGACAAACAACAGGAUGAUCCAAAGACAACUGAGAGUGUUCAGAGCAGCGUGAACGGCAGUGACCUCAGAGCAAGACAGUCCUCGGGCCUUUGUGGUUCCCUCCAGACUGACCACCUGUCCAGGUUGUACCCCCACCUCUGGCCCCAUAACAGCUGGAAUGGCUCCAAUCUUGAAUUGGAUAAGCAGAAGAAAUGG